GCUCCCGUGGCGCAAUUGGUAGACGCACUAGACCGAGAUUCUAGUUUUUUACAGGUUCAAAUCCUGUCGGGAGUACCA
RNAcentral lists this transfer RNA (78 nucleotides) under Moorena producens PAL-8-15-08-1. RNAcentral's name for it is "Moorea producens PAL-8-15-08-1 tRNA-Leu". It matches the Rfam family "tRNA". Rfam says of the family: Transfer RNA (tRNA) molecules are approximately 80 nucleotides in length. Their secondary structure includes four short double-helical elements and three loops (D, anti-codon, and T loops). Lineage: Bacteria; Bacillati; Cyanobacteriota; Cyanophyceae; Coleofasciculales; Coleofasciculaceae. RNAcentral also lists the same sequence under 2 other names. The record is from RNAcentral.